RNAcentral lists this ribosomal RNA (509 nucleotides) under Salmonella enterica subsp. enterica. Its description in RNAcentral is "partial 16S ribosomal RNA". It matches the Rfam family "Bacterial small subunit ribosomal RNA", at positions 594 to 1102 of the family's 1533-position model. The record is from RNAcentral. RNAcentral also lists the same sequence under 1 other name. Lineage: Bacteria; Pseudomonadati; Pseudomonadota; Gammaproteobacteria; Enterobacterales; Enterobacteriaceae.
GUGAAAUCCCCGGGCUCAACCUGGGAACUGCAUUCGAAACUGGCAGGCUUGAGUCUUGUAGAGGGGGGUAGAAUUCCAGGUGUAGCGGUGAAAUGCGUAGAGAUCUGGAGGAAUACCGGUGGCGAAGGCGGCCCCCUGGACAAAGACUGACGCUCAGGUGCGAAAGCGUGGGGAGCAAACAGGAUUAGAUACCCUGGUAGUCCACGCCGUAAACGAUGUCUACUUGGAGGUUGUGCCCUUGAGGCGUGGCUUCCGGAGCUAACGCGUUAAGUAGACCGCCUGGGGAGUACGGCCGCAAGGUUAAAACUCAAAUGAAUUGACGGGGGCCCGCACAAGCGGUGGAGCAUGUGGUUUAAUUCGAUGCAACGCGAAGAACCUUACCUGGUCUUGACAUCCACAGAAGAAUCCAGAGAUGGAUUUGUGCCUUCGGGAACUGUGAGACAGGUGCUGCAUGGCUGUCGUCAGCUCGUGUUGUGAAAUGUUGGGUUAAGUCCCGCAACGAGCGCAAC